UGAUGAGUCAGAAUGUAGGAUAAAGAUGUCCUCAGUCCACAAAUUGUCUAUUUAACUUAUGAUUCACUCCACGUGGUAACAGAAGAUGGCAGUAAAGCCUUUCCUCUCACAGCCAGCUGUGAAACUCUCUUUCAAAGCGAACUGAGGCAUCAAAAUAGAGACCUCUUUUAUAGCAUAGCCACAGAAUCAGAAGGUUCACAAAGGAGCUACUAAACAAGACAUUAGGGCUGUGUAAAAUGUAAUUCUGGAGGUAGACAAACAGCACGUGUUAAAUACUGUCACCAUAGCAACAGCUCACAGUAGGGAAGAGCAAUCACACACGCUAAAAACUCCUACACACACAAACACACACACACACAAACACUCCUGGAAAUGUGUAUUUCAAAAAUAGUCUUUGUUGCAAAAUAUAUGUCUGACAGGGAAUUCUACAUCACGAUCAACUGCAGUAUAGCUGUGAUAGUUUUGUGCUUUCUUUGAUUUAAUCAAAAAUUUAUACUGAAAUCUAAGUAUGUGCGUGUGAGCACAUGUGUGUAUGUAACCAUUGCAAGUCAUGCUCUAAU
This is a long non-coding RNA of Scatophagus argus, 560 nucleotides long. RefSeq lists it as uncharacterized. Lineage: Eukaryota; Metazoa; Chordata; Actinopteri; Scatophagidae. The transcript is spliced from 3 exons. The record is from RefSeq and is a predicted model, not a curated record.